UAAAUGACAUUUUAGGUCUGUUUGAUCUAAAGUGGAAUCAACCUCAGCUAUUUCCUCCUUUUAUAGAAGAAUGCAACUGUGUGGAAACACCCUGCAGCGGAGAAUGUCAGCUUAACACAGCAAGAACCCACACACAGGCACAAUGGUGAAUCUGACAGGAGAGAAAGAACCUUUUAGUCAAGUUCCAGUAGACCUGAAGAAUGGCUAUAUGUAUGACAACCCUUGAAGAAGUAACUCCCUUUUUACAUGAUUGUUCCCAUGUGUUGGACUUACCAAGAAGCUUUGAAUACGAGGCGGACUCCAGUGAUACUCCUAAGAGGGCAUUUCCUAGAAGAAUUCUGGACCUGGCACGGAGACUUACCAACAAGUCAGUUAGUUCUGAAUGGAACAGUUGCAGAGUUUCUGUUCAUUUGCUUAUUUGUCUCUCAAAAGAGAGUCCCUAUUUCAGUUCAUAAUGUGUAAUGAUCCUUUUUUGGGUUUUACAUGUCUCACCAGAAUCUUUUUUUCCUCUUUUGAAGCACAUCCACAAACUCUGUAACAGUGAGUGCACCUUAAAGUAAUAAAAAUGCCCAUUGUGGAAAAGAAGUCA
This 589-nucleotide long non-coding RNA is filed under the name Crocodylus porosus (Australian saltwater crocodile). RNAcentral describes it as "lncRNA (ENSCPRG00005010779.1)". The record is from RNAcentral. Lineage: Eukaryota; Metazoa; Chordata; Crocodylia; Crocodylidae.